GCAGUGGAACUCCCUCACUUCUGACCCUGCCGUUGCUUCAUCAUCAAGGGAAUAAUGAAUGUUCAGUGAUUCCAGCAUUCUUGGAGAUUCUGUCAGAGUCUUGAGCAAGUGCAAGAAGUUAUCUGAUCCCUGCUUAUUUUGAUGCGGUAGCUCUUUUUACGUGUUCCUUCCUGGAUUGUUGUCAGGUGUGGUUGUUACUUUGUGAAAUAUAUUGGGUUGCUCGUAAUGUCAUGAAUCCCCGAGGGAAAUUUUCUCUAUUUCAUGACUAGAUUUACAUUAAUAAUGUUUGAACUGGAUAAGCCUACUGUUUGUUUGGUUAUGUAUAUCUGUAUUUCCAUGUUACCCACUCUAAAUAAUCUCAAAAUAGUCAGUGUCUGUUUGGUUGUCUA
This is a long non-coding RNA of Mangifera indica (mango), 389 nucleotides long. RefSeq lists it as uncharacterized. Lineage: Eukaryota; Viridiplantae; Streptophyta; Magnoliopsida; Sapindales; Anacardiaceae. The record is from RefSeq and is a predicted model, not a curated record. The transcript has 2 exons.